CAGUCGCCGCGGUAAUACGUAGGGUGCGAGCGUUAAUCGGAAUUACUGGGCGUAAAGCGUGCGCAGGCGGUUGUGUAAGACAGGUGUGAAAUCCCCGGGCUCAACCUGGGAACUGCGCUUGUGACUGCACAGCCAGAGUAUGGCAGAGGGGGGUGGAAUUCCACGUGUAGCAGUGAAAUGCGUAGAGAUGUGGAGGAACACCGAUGGCGAAGGCAGCCCCCUGGGCCAAUACUGACGCUCAUGCACGAAAGCGUGGGGAGCAGACAGGAUUAGAACCCCAGUAGUCCCUGUCUCUUAUACA
RNAcentral lists this ribosomal RNA (301 nucleotides) under uncultured bacterium. RNAcentral's name for it is "partial 16S ribosomal RNA". It matches the Rfam family "Bacterial small subunit ribosomal RNA", at positions 509 to 808 of the family's 1533-position model. The record is from RNAcentral.